UCGUGCUAGGCGGGGAGGUAGCGGUGCCCUGUACCCGCAAUCCGCUAUAGCGGGGUCGAAUUCCCGGCCGAGGGAGUGCCGCCGACGAGUGAUCGGCGGCGGGUAGUGGCGUCGAUGGCCAGGUCCCUCGCAAUGAGAACCUGCCAACCCCGUCAGGACCGGAAGGUAGCAGCGGUACGCAGUCAUUCUCAUGUGCCGAGGACCAACCUGGCCGGAGUCAACCCCGCCGUUGGAGCCGAAGGCGCAUCACGACGCCGGGUGCGCGA
RNAcentral lists this signal recognition particle RNA (266 nucleotides) under Candidatus Eiseniibacteriota bacterium. RNAcentral's name for it is "signal recognition particle sRNA large type". It matches the Rfam family "Bacterial large signal recognition particle RNA". From Rfam's summary of the family: The signal recognition particle (SRP) is a universally conserved ribonucleoprotein involved in the co-translational targeting of proteins to membranes. Archaeal SRP consists of a 7S RNA and homologues of the eukaryotic SRP19 and SRP54 proteins. The record is from RNAcentral. Lineage: Bacteria; Candidatus Eiseniibacteriota.